Molecule: long non-coding RNA, 331 nt
Filed under: Sorghum bicolor (sorghum)
Lineage: Eukaryota; Viridiplantae; Streptophyta; Magnoliopsida; Poales; Poaceae
Description: long non-coding RNA (SBIC_LNC017249)
Source: RNAcentral
ACAUACUAAUAAAUUAUUAAAAUUCAUCAAAGCUUUAUUUGGUAAUUAAAAGUGCCAAUUUUCAUAUCCUGGCAAAUUAACAGAAAACAGAGCCUAAUAUUUUUCUUGGGUUCUAACUAUUUCAGGGAAUUUAUACAAAAAUUUUCAUCAUUUUUGGAUCACUACAAAAUUUAUAACAUAAAUUCAAACAUCAAGCAAUUUUAAUCAAAAAGGAAAAAGAAAAAAAAAACAGCGCAGCGGGCGGCCUGGAAACUGGGCCGCAGGCCGGCCCACACGCGCUCGGCCCGCACCCGCGCUGCGCGCGCUCGCGCCCUCGCCUCCCCUCAGGACG